ACCCCGACUACUCUUCCAUUAGGAGCGCAUUACUGAAAUGAACACAUCUGGCCUGAUAUAGAGCCCAUAUUCACAUUUAGAUCCAUCCACAAACCUCAAGCUAAUUCUGAUCACACUGAAAUAGUCUAAUAACCCUUCAAAGGUCCAUAAUGACCCCCUUUUUCUCACAACACACAAGAGCAACCAUCAUAACCGGAGUAAUCCUCCAUAGUCCACAACCCAAUAAAUCGAGUGCCCUCCAUGCAUCAAUUCUCAAUUUAACGAUAUCACCACAAUCUUCAUACUUGGUUUAACUCUUCAAUCAAUCAAGUGACUACAUGCCACACUUAUACCACCUUCCCGUGGGGCACGCUCUCACAACCUUCCGUAACGGAUAACAGGUCUGUACACCCAGACCACCGGUUGCACUAACGCUGAAAAGCGAUCAAGAAUCCUUAGCCUGGAUGCAAAGCCUUUUUUCACAAAACACUGAUCUCAGGUGACGCUGAAGACAAUACUAACUUACUUUAAACAUCGAAACCCCUUUCCUACUCAUCCGAGCUCGUGACAUCCUUGUCAACACCAGAAUGCAACCUUGAUCCUCACUUCAAAUUCCAUACCACUCAUUGCACCUAACAUGCCAAUAUACGAUAGAACAUAAUUUUCAUCAUAACUCCGGAACCAUUAAUAGAUUAACAUUUCAUCAUAUAAGAACUUUUCACUUAACUCACUUCAGGAGAAUCAUAGCAACACAUAGGUGAAUUCUCAUAACUGUAGAAUGUGUCAAUCUCUAAGUAGUGGUCUAAGACACCAUAGCCCUCCCGGGAUCCGCCUAUACAUAACAGGCCAUAACAGUAGAAUGCUUCUGAAGAUCAUCAAUUACGGCGGCCGACAAGCCUCACACGUACCGCCACAAAUCACAUGCAUAACUUGAUCACGCUGAAGGGACUGAUCUCUACCACCGACAUGCCAACUCAACUAUGGCUAACCAAUCCAUCUUCUUUCGAUUUACCCUGAUUGCCUUACGAAUAAUAAUAACUCCUUUCAACACAUAACACACUCCAUUCGCACUCACCUCGAAUGACCUUGAAUCACGAGACCAUGCUGUCUCAAAUCCCUUGAACCAUUUCAUACGUUCUUUGUGCGCACAUUCGCACCCUCAACUGAUAUGCCCAUUCUGAUGAUCCUUCUACGAAUCCGAUAUCUUUUCUCAUUUUCCUCCCAAAUGCUAUACUGCAAGUCAAAACAUCGUAGAACAUUCAGUGCCUCUUCUCAUAAGCUGCUACAAAGCUUAAUUCUUAACUGUACCUAUAGGCUCGCAAUCAUUAGGCACCACACUUUGCCCCUUUGAAUCCUCUAGGACCAUUGUUGAGAGCCACCCGCUCUGACUUGGCCCCGGAUAUAAUCAACUCCAUGAAUCUUCUAGCACAUGAAUACCCUCUCGAUGAAGCACCUGGCAGAAUCACUUCCCUUGAAAUCCGCAUCUAUACAAGGCAUAAAUCCUGAAUCCUUCCCCAAGUCUGAACAUGGGCCAAUAAAGCCAACCAUAGCACCCCUUUUACAAUUUCUUUGCUCAAAUUACCACUUAUGUUCUUCCCCGUAGCUGAAAUAACCUAUCAAUAUGCUAAUAACCAGAAACCUCACAAGUAGUUAAUCAUGCAACCCAAUCAUAAGCGGUGGGACUCUCCCACUUAGCUUGAAGCCACUAUUACACUCUGGAAUUCACUGAGGUUCUUUAUCUCUUAUUGACAUAACCUUACGCAAUCAACCGCCAAAAUUCUCGGAAUUUUUUCUAUAAAACCCCCUUUUUAUACUCUGAAUUAUCAACCACAUUCGUAUGACCGAUCUCUUUGCUGUAUAACCAAUAGAAUUCUUUGCAGAAGCCUCGCCAACCACGGGACCGCUAACCUGGUCAAAGGGAAUAACCCACCUGUGGAAGUCACUUCCCGACAUCUUCCAACGCUGCUGCACGGGGUACAAUUGCUAUGACAUCGAUUACCCAUACUGAGUCCGAGCUCACUCUCUAGUUGCACAAGUACAUUCACCCCUCAUGGACAUCAAUUAAAUGUGUGGCAACAUCUUCUAAUUCAAAGUUAUGUUGUAUCCUUCUUCAUUUCAAGCAGCUCCUUCCUGUUAUAUCAAAUCUCUUGCCGCAUAAUAGCUCAUACUUCAAAUUAAAUCUGUAGACCCUAAUCACCAAUCACUAAAAUUCCCAAGUCAUUCCAAACUCUCCUUAAGGUGCAUAGUCAUCCUACCACAAUGCCCAUAUGCAACUCCGCCACUCUCCCACUUUGGCGGAACUCAUCCCUUUAAUCGGCUACUCGACCUUUGCUUCUUAUACUUGGCCUUCUAGAAAUUUUAGCCGCCGCCUGACACUCUCCACAUGUCCUUCCUCAUCCUUUACUGCUCAGUUGUUGCCAUAUAUAAAAUCUAUCUUUGUAGCACUUGAACCCACAAUCGCUACUAACUUUAAACAUUUCUGAAGAUCAUCUUUCUCAAGCCGUCAACAUUAGAAACACCGAUUCAAUCCUGAACCACCACACCCCGCGAUAUCUAACAGUCAUUUCUCCAAUAUUAUUUCACAAUGUCCUACUCCAAGGCGAAUUGCAGAAGACCAUAACACCGGCGAACUUAACACAUACAAUCGAGGACAACGACACUACAUCGUAGAUGAAAAUUCCAUCACGCUCGAAAAUAUCAAGUCUCGUUACCCCAUCAACCCGAAUCUGAACAUUUUUAGCCCGAUUGCCUUUCCCCUGCCGGGAAUAAAAUACCGAAUCUCUAGAUCAUGCACUAAGUAAACCUCCCUUCAAGUCAUUCCCUGCCCCGAUAAGUAGGAAAACAUCCUACCAUCAUAUCAAUACUACGGAACAAUCAUUCAUAAGCAUCAUGGCAACUUGUGCCUAGCCUCAGAGCUCUCAGAAGUACCGCUACUGGGCUGAAACAAUAGAAUAUCCUUCCACAAGGCGAAAAUAAUAGUCCAAUCAACUAUACCGGUAGAAACACCCCGCACCACAUCUGUAGUACCAUUUCAAUUAUUAAAUCCUCGAUUUACAACAAGCGAUUCGCGUCGCGUAAGAUUGAGUAGGAAGGAAACAAGGGCAUAAGCCUCGAGGAAUCAAAUCGCACGACAAGGAAUCAAGAAGGGAAGUACUCCUAACAGCCCUGUAGCCUCCCGAAGAUAAGUACAGACGUCUCCAUACCAAACCGCGAGACUCUACUAGACUUGCUCAUGACUCGUGAGACCUAAGGGAACCUAGUACUCUGAUACCAUGUUGUCACGACCCAAAAUUCACUAAGGGUCGUGAUGGCGCCGGACACCAUUGUCAGGCAAGCCAACCACAAUUUACUAGCAAUUUCUCAUUUUAAUUAUUUAGAAAACAUUUCCCUUUAAACAAAUAACUAAUAAAUAAUAAACUCCGCUGGAUAAAUGAGGAUGUUUUUACAAAAUUUAACUACUGAAAAAUCCCGUGAUCAUCCCAGAUCCGGUAUCACAACUGCAUGAGCAAUUUCUAAGAAAUAAUGUAGUACAACAACCAUCCGGAAUACAAUACUGGACAAAAAAUAAAUACAGUAAUCUGAAAGAGACUUGCUAGCUGCGGGUCGUCUCGGAAAUGCAGCUCACCUAAGUCUCUAUGUCAACCAUGCUGCUACGCUCACUAGGGCACUAGAGAUGCAUGUGCAUGUACAACAAAGAUGCACAGAAGUAUAGUAUGAGUACAAAAGACAACGUGUACCCAAUGAGUAUCCCGUCUAAUCUCGAAGAAGUAGAGACGAGAGGUCGACUUCGACACUUACUACUGGUCCAAUAAUGUUAUAUCAAAUAUAAAUUAAAUCGUGGAUUUUUAUAAACAUGAUUAUAGUCCGAUAGGUUGAAGCAAGUAAACAAUUCUCUCUUUUAUAGGAAAUUUCUAAAUUCCUUUUCAACAUUUAUACAUAUAUUCUUAAGCGAGGAAGAGGAAACAACAACUUUAAUAAGUUUCAAGGCAAGCAAUACAAGCAUGCACAAAUCAUGUCGAGGUCAUACGACCCGAUCCAACAUAAAUGUAAAAUGUGUACUACCGAGGGUCGAACGACGCGAACCAUAGAUGCAUCUAUUACCCCGCUCGCGAACGAUACAUGCGACGCGGUCAAAUUUAAAUAAAUAAUCACCCUGUUCGCGAAUCAUACAUGCGACGCAUGUACACAUAGAAAUAUAUGCUCAAACAGCCAAUUAAGAAUUUGUCGGGGAACAUUUAUCCAAAUAAAAGCCAAUUCUCUUUUAAUAAUUUAAGAAAAUGAAGUUUAAUCCUUUUAAAAAUUCAUUUACCAAUUCGAUAAGAUUUAAGCAAUUCAACUGUCAAUAAGAUUACAGAUAUUCCAAGUAUAGCAUGUUUUUGGGUCCAAGACUAUCCUGGCUUACACAUAUUAGUAUCUACGCACGGACUCUCGUCACCUCGUACGUAUGUAGCCCCCACAAAUAGGAGCACAUAACCAAUUAUUUCACCUGUGGGGACAAUUCCAUCUUACAAGGUUAGAAAGGAGACUCACCUCGCUCCGAAGAUCCAUAACCGGCCUCCCACGCCCUUCUGAAGACUCAAAUUGAUUCCUAACGCUCCAAAACUAGCCAAUAAUUAUGCAAAUUCAUCAAUAUAUGCUCAGUUAUUCAUUACAAUCCAAUUUAUAGCAAUUCCUAACCCCGAUUGAAAAAGUUGACAAAAUUGCCCUCGGGCCCACGUGCCCGGAUUCCUAAAUUUUUCGAAGAUAAAGUUUACCCAUGGACUCACAAACUCAACUAUAUGAUUUUCUCUUAAUUUCACGCCCAAAAUAGUUGUCAAAAUUCAUGAAUAUCAAAUUUUCUAGGUCUUCCUCAAAACCCCAAAUUUUCUAGGUCUUCCUCAAAACCCCAAAUUUUCUAUAGAUUUCCUUGUCUAAAUCCAUAUAUAAACCUUGUAUUUAUUCAAAACUAGUAGAAAUCACUUACCUCAUUCUUGGUGAUGAAAAUGGCACUCCAAAGUUGCUCCAAAAUCAACUCCCAUGGAAGAAAUAAAGUGAAAAUGAGUCAAGCUCCGAUUUUAAAAGAACACUACCCAUGCGACCCUUCUAUGCGAUUGCAAACAAUGCUCCGCGAUUGAAUAGGCCAACUAUGCUGCCUCCCUAAUUCCUUAUGUGCAUUCGCAUGCUAGCUCCUGCGUUCGCACAGGCCAAACGCAUCACAGCCUCCAAACGCCCACUGUGCGAUUGCAACUCCAACCCCGCGAUCGCAUAAGCCUUCAACCUGUAGCCCCAGCCUUCCUCAUCCACGAUCGCAUUGCACUUCCUGCGAUCGCAUAGGCCAAAUUCCAGCUCCCUCAAUUCUUGCUCUAUGCGAUCGCAGACCCGCUCACGCAAUUGCAUAGAGUAAAAACCUGCUGCACUCAUACCAAAAAGCCAGCAAUCCUCAUAAGGCAAGAAUCGAUCCGUUGAGCAUCCGAAACACGCCCGAGGCCCCCGGGACCUCAACGAAACCUACCAACCAAUCCCAAAAUACAUUUCGGACUUGCUCGAGGCCUCAAAAAAUGCUAAAACCACGAAUCAACCUCAAUCCAAGCUUCAUGAACUUUAGAAUUUCAAACUUCUACAUUCGAUGCCAAAACCCGUCAAAUCACGUCCGAUUGACCUCAAAUUUUGCAUGCAAGUCAUAUUCGACAUUACGGACCUACUCCAACUUCCAGAAUCGGAUUCCGACCCCGAUAUCAAAAAGUCCACUUCUGGUCAAACUUCUCAAAAACCUUCAAAUUUCUAUCUUUAGCCACAUGACUCCAAAAUGACCUACGGACCUUCGAAUUCACUUCCGAUCGCGCUCCCAACUCCA
RNAcentral lists this long non-coding RNA (5812 nucleotides) under Nicotiana tabacum (common tobacco). RNAcentral describes it as "long non-coding RNA (NTAB_LNC004536)". Lineage: Eukaryota; Viridiplantae; Streptophyta; Magnoliopsida; Solanales; Solanaceae. The record is from RNAcentral.